Molecule: ribosomal RNA, 384 nt
Filed under: Triticum aestivum (bread wheat)
Lineage: Eukaryota; Viridiplantae; Streptophyta; Magnoliopsida; Poales; Poaceae
Description: partial small subunit ribosomal RNA
Source: RNAcentral
AUGACGUUCGACAAGGUGGAGGAGCUCCGGCCGGGCACCUACGGCCACAACCUGCAGCUCCGGGUGCUCAGCGCCAAGCCCGUCGUGCUCCACAGGCCGCAGGGCGGCCGGGCCGGCGGCAACAUGCGCAUCGCCGAGUGCAUCGUCGGCGACGACACCGGCGUCGUCGUAUUCACCGCACGCAACGAGCAAGUGGACAUCAUGAAGCCCGGGGCGGUCGUGGAGGCGAGGAAGGCGAGGGUGGACAUGUACAAGGGGUCGAUGCGCCUGGCGGUGGACAAGUGGGGGACGCUCAAGGCUGCUGAGAGCCCCGCGGACUUCAAGGUGAAGGAGGACAACAACGUGUCCUUGGUCGAGUUUGAGCUCAUCACCGUGAUGCAGUGA